This 376-nucleotide ribosomal RNA is filed under the name uncultured bacterium. RNAcentral's name for it is "bacterial SSU rRNA". It matches the Rfam family "Bacterial small subunit ribosomal RNA", at positions 521 to 896 of the family's 1533-position model. The record is from RNAcentral.
UAAUACGAAGGGGGCUAGCGUUGCUCGGAAUGACUGGGCGUAAAGGGCGCGUAGGCGGUUCGUACAGUCAGACGUGAAAUUCCCGGGCUCAACCUGGGGGCUGCGUUUGAUACGUGCGGGCUUGAGUUCGGAAGAGGGUCGUGGAAUUCCCAGUGUAGAGGUGAAAUUCGUAGAUAUUGGGAAGAACACCGGUGGCGAAGGCGGCGACCUGGUCCGAUACUGACGCUGAGGCGCGAAAGCGUGGGGAGCAAACAGGAUUAGAUACCCUGGUAGUCCACGCCGUAAACGAUGUGUGCUGGAUGUUGGGCAGCUUGGCUGUUCAGUGUCGUAGCUAACGCGAUAAGCACACCGCCUGGGGAGUACGGCCGCAAGGUUG